Molecule: long non-coding RNA, 476 nt
Filed under: Anolis carolinensis (green anole)
Lineage: Eukaryota; Metazoa; Chordata; Lepidosauria; Squamata; Anolidae
Description: lncRNA (ENSACAG00000044131.1)
Source: RNAcentral
GUGACCAGAGCGAAGCAGGUUAAUACCUCUGCAGUAUCUCCCUGCCCUUUGGCAUUUCCUUUUCUGGUGUGACUUUGGGUUUGUUUUUCCCUCCUGAAACUGAAACCAACCUCGAGCCUCCCUUGGGCUGUUUUAAUGUCAUGCAAAAAAAGCUGCGGAAGGAAAAGCUUCAAAAAUAGGGCAGGAGGAAGUUGGAAGGCCAUUGCAACCCUCUCAUGGAAAGGUGUCAACUGAAGAUGAAAAGACCUGAAAGUGAGCAAGAAGCUGCUGUGAUUUCCCAUCUCUGUGUGUGUGUGCCUCCUUGAAGAAGACACUCGUGCCAACACUGUGUCCUUGAAUGGUGUGGAUCCCAGUUCUACUCUGGACGUUUUUGCAGUGUGAACUGGGACUCGGCUCUUAUUGGCUGGAAAACAAGAAGCCUUGAUGUGGGAAGAGGUUUGCCAUCAUGUCUAGCAAUGAGCUCAACGGAUCGAAGC